This 292-nucleotide ribosomal RNA is filed under the name uncultured bacterium. RNAcentral describes it as "partial 16S ribosomal RNA". It matches the Rfam family "Bacterial small subunit ribosomal RNA", at positions 505 to 796 of the family's 1533-position model. The record is from RNAcentral.
GUGUCAGCAGCCGCGGUAAGACGUAGGAGGCGAGCGUUAUCCGGAUUCACUGGGCGUAAAGCGCAUGUAGGCGGUUCGAUAAGUCCGCUGUUAAAGCCCCCGGCUCAACUGGGGGAGGUCAGUGGAGACUAUAGGACUUGAGGGCAACAGAGGCACGUGGAACUCCCGGUGUAGCGGUGGAAUGCGUAGAGAUCGGGAAGAACACCAGUGGCGAAGGCGACGUGCUGGGUUGCGACUGACGCUGAGAUGCGAAAGUGUGGGGAGCAAACGGGAUUAGAAACCCCCGUAGUCC